Molecule: unclassified non-coding RNA, 22 nt
Filed under: Chlamydomonas reinhardtii
Lineage: Eukaryota; Viridiplantae; Chlorophyta; Chlorophyceae; Chlamydomonadales; Chlamydomonadaceae
Description: small RNA Cre_2944
Source: RNAcentral
UGAGGUGCUGCUGGGCACUGCG